Long non-coding RNA from Octopus sinensis (East Asian common octopus), 417 nucleotides. RefSeq lists it as uncharacterized. NCBI's taxonomy places the organism in Eukaryota, Metazoa, Mollusca, Cephalopoda, Octopoda, Octopodidae. The record is from RefSeq and is a predicted model, not a curated record. The transcript has 3 exons.
GACGUUCGAACCCAAUCUUUUGCAGUUCUCUGCCUCAUCGCGCCACUCAUCACACAUCCACAAAAACGCGACCUCCUACUCCACCUUUCGGCCCUUAUGCCACUUCAAAUCAGCUGACUACUCGGAGAUCUGCCAGUGUUAUGACCAUACUUGGUUGUACAAGUGCUUCAUACAUGACCAGUCAGAAACAGCUUGAUCGGGAAUUAACUGUUAACCAAUGCAGACUCUGUUUACUAGUAAAAGAAAAGUACGGAUGAAGAGGAAGGAGAGGAGUAGGAAUCAGAAGAGAAAAAGAGGAGUAGAAGGAAGUUGAAGGAAUAAAUGAAGAAAAGAAAGAAAAGUUUGCUACUAUGUCCAACUUAAGGCUCAUCCUUUCAUCUGAUGAUAUGUUGCGGUAGAGCCCUGCGACUUCUUUGG